This is a long non-coding RNA of Ctenopharyngodon idella (grass carp), 399 nucleotides long. RefSeq lists it as uncharacterized. NCBI's taxonomy places the organism in Eukaryota, Metazoa, Chordata, Actinopteri, Cypriniformes, Xenocyprididae. The record is from RefSeq and is a predicted model, not a curated record. The transcript is spliced from 2 exons.
UCAAGGCCCCGAUAUACGCACGGCAAAGUUCUUUUUCGUUCUUUACUUAGGAGUAAAAAGAAGUUGAAGAUACCUUUGCAGUGAUAUACUGUUAACGAACAUCCGCCGUCCUUGCUGCCGAGAGAGCGACCUUUAGAUGAAUAUGUAAAUACUUACUACUUCCACUUAAACUAAACACAACAAAAAUGACAGCGGUGAGAGAGCGCUAGUUAAGAAAUCAUCUGAUCAUAGCGAUGUGGAUAUGUUUGCACCAGCUCUGCAAUCACCGGCAUCAUCUACAGAUGAGGCCAAAUCUCUGUGGUUUAUCCCCACUCACCUCGACCCCGGAUCUUCUGCCGGCUGGUUGGCUGUUGGGUGUGUCAGUCAGUGAUGCUUUCCAUCCGUUUAAAGAGUGGCCAA